GAUGAACGCUGGCGGCGUGCCUAAUACAUGCAAGUCGAGCGAACGGACGAGAAGCUUGCUUCUCUGAUGUUAGCGGCGGACGGGUGAGUAACACGUGGAUAACCUACCUAUAAGACUGGGAUAACUUCGGGAAACCGUAGCUAAUACCGGAUAAUAUUUUGAACCGCAUGGUUCAAAAGUGAAAGACGGUCUUGCUGUCACUUAUAGAUGGAUCCGCGCUGCAUUAGCUAGUUGGUAAGGUAACGGCUUACCAAGGCAACGAUGCAUAGCCGACCUGAGAGGGUGAUCGGCCACACUGGAACUGAGACACGGUCCAGACUCCUACGGGAGGCAGCAGUAGGGAAUAUUGCACAAUGGGCGGAAGCCUGAUGCAGCAACGCCGCGUGCGGGAUGACGGCCUUCGGGUUGUAAACCGCUUUCGCCUGUGACGAAGCGUGAGUGACGGUAAUGGGUAAAGAAGCACCGGCUAACUACGUG
RNAcentral lists this ribosomal RNA (477 nucleotides) under uncultured bacterium. RNAcentral's name for it is "partial 16S ribosomal RNA". It matches the Rfam family "Bacterial small subunit ribosomal RNA", at positions 28 to 507 of the family's 1533-position model. The record is from RNAcentral.